Molecule: unclassified non-coding RNA, 99 nt
Filed under: Trypanosomatidae sp. 93JS
Lineage: Eukaryota; Euglenozoa; Kinetoplastea; Trypanosomatida; Trypanosomatidae
Description: trans-spliced leader sequence
Source: RNAcentral
AACUUACGCUAUAAAAGAUACAGUUUCUGUACUAUAUUGGUAUGAGAACUUACUCCAGAUAAUGGAUGAAUAAUUCAGAUGAGACCUUCGGGUCUCUUA